CGUUCCAAGAGUGUUACGUCGUUACCGCUUUCUUCCGGCGAGAGCCCUCGACAAGAGUGUCUCUCGGUACUCGUCGGCUUGUGCCACAGACGGAGAAGGAACAGGAAAGGAACAUCGGAGAAAAAUGUCUGGUGGUGAAUAUACAAAGAGGCAGACAGUAGAAGAAGAAGAAAGAGAGAGAGAGAGAGAGAGAGAGGAGAAGACGGCAGAUAGAGAAAAAAGACAAACGGGAGGAACAGGAUCAGAGAAAGAGAGAGAGAGAGAGAGAGAGAGAGAGAAAGCGCGUGGAGAAAACUGUGCGUGUAUUAUAUCGUAUACCUUUAAUUUAUAUUUUCGAAUUUAUGCUCGGAAGUUACAAGAUAUAAAAUACCCUUGAGAUACGAACGUAAUUAUCGGCAACCCCCGUGGCUUGUAAUAUCGGGUCAAUAAAGAUAUUUCGGCGUACGUAUAAUGGUACAGAGUCAAUAUAACGGAGGAUUGUAUUUGUAAGGAAGAUUCGCUUUGAAGUAUCGAAGUGGAGGUUCAACUUGUAAGAUCAAAAAUUGCUAACUAUACGAUAUACGCAUACUUGGAUAUGGUAUUUUAAUGUCCAUUUUAUGUGCAGUAUUAAAAUCAUGACUAAGUAACGUACGUAAGUAAUAAAAGAUCGUACGACAAAGAGUUCAGCAUUAACUUACGAUAUAGUGAGAAUCUCGACAGCGAACUAUUAUUAAAUCUUCAAUUAGUGCAAAGAAAAAGAGCAUUAGGUACUAUUUUGAUACGAAUGCUAUGAUGUACAUAGAAAAUGAUAUAUUUAAAUGGUUGCUUAAUAAGAAAAAAGAUGUCGAAAUGGAUGACGUUUAACCUUCUUAGAGCACACUUUGCAAGCGAGAAAUACCUUUAUGACGUAAGGAGCAGUAUCUUCCUCAAAGAUAAACUCAUCAAAACUUAUUGAAACUUUCACUCCGCGCGACAUAUUUGCAGAUAAAUGCUGUUCAAAGUAAAGCUUAUACCAAUGAUUCGAUAAGAUGGCAGAAGGAGAAUUCUUUUACUUUAAACCCGUCUAAUUUAUCCCUUCCUCUGUUUGAAGAUUUUUCUAAAGCUGGCUGUAUUGAAAAAAUGGCAUAUAUAUUUAUAUAUCAUUCGUAAAAUUCAAUUAUGUUCCACGCAUAGUUUUAGGUUCCGAGAGCAUCAUGCAUAAGUCAGGUAAUAUCAAACGAAAACAGAUGCAAGUAAACUUAUGUACUAAAAUUCGGUGAAAGUUUCUAAAGAAUAUCUUUGUUUCCAUUUGGUAUUGAUACAUCGAAUGUAGCAUAAGCACUAAACGGUCUUUAAAUUCGUAUCGUAAACGAUAUACAGAAAUACAAGAAAGCUAAUAUAA
Molecule: long non-coding RNA, 1360 nt
Organism: Bombus huntii
Lineage: Eukaryota; Metazoa; Arthropoda; Insecta; Hymenoptera; Apidae
Exons: 2
Source: RefSeq, a predicted model, not a curated record